UGUAAAAUGGCUGAGUUAUAGGCGAUAGAUUGUAGCUCUAUUAACGGAGUUAAUUCUUCUUUUACAA
This 67-nucleotide transfer RNA is filed under the name Solemya velum (Atlantic awning clam). RNAcentral's name for it is "tRNA-Tyr". It matches the Rfam family "tRNA". Rfam says of the family: Transfer RNA (tRNA) molecules are approximately 80 nucleotides in length. Their secondary structure includes four short double-helical elements and three loops (D, anti-codon, and T loops). Further hydrogen bonds mediate the characteristic L-shaped molecular structure. tRNAs have two regions of fundamental functional importance: the anti-codon, which is responsible for specific mRNA codon recognition, and the 3' end, to which the tRNAs corresponding amino acid is attached (by aminoacyl-tRNA synthetases). tRNAs cope with the degeneracy of the genetic code in two manners: having more than one tRNA (with a specific anti-codon) for a particular amino acid; and 'wobble' base-pairing, i.e. permitting non-standard base-pairing at the 3rd anti-codon position. The record is from RNAcentral. Lineage: Eukaryota; Metazoa; Mollusca; Bivalvia; Solemyida; Solemyidae.